Molecule: ribosomal RNA, 253 nt
Filed under: uncultured bacterium
Lineage: Bacteria
Description: partial 16S ribosomal RNA
Rfam family: Bacterial small subunit ribosomal RNA
Source: RNAcentral
UACGUAGGGUGCAAGCGUUAAUCGGAAUUACUGGGCGUAAAGCGUGCGCAGGCGGUUUGCUAAGACAGGUGUGAAAUCCCCGGGCUUAACCUGGGAACUGCGCUUGUAACUGGCAAGCUUGAGUGUGGCAGAGGGGGGUGGAAUUCCACGUGUAGCAGUGAAAUGCGUAGAGAUGUGGAGGAACACCGAUGGCGAAGGCAGCCCCCUGGGCUAACACUGACGCUCAUGCACGAAAGCGUGGGGAGCAAACAGG